AAGUGGUAGGAGAGCGUUCUAUUUGCGUCGAAGGUAUACCGGUAAGGAGUGCUGGAGCGAAUAGAAGUGAGCAUGCAGGCAUGAGUAGCGAUAAUUAAUGUGAGAAUCAUUAACGCCGUAAACCCAAGGUUUCCUACGCGAUGCUCGUCAUCGUAGGGUUAGUCGGGUCCUAAGUCGAGUCCGAAAGGGGUAGACGAUGGCAAAUUGGUUAAUAUUCCAAUACCAACAUUAGUGUGCGAUGGAAGGACGCUUAGGGCUAAGGGGGCUAGCGGAUGGAAGUGCUAGUCUAAGGUCGUAGGAGGUUGUACAGGCAAAUCCGUAUAACAAUACUCCGAGAACUGAAAGGCUUUUUGAAGUCUUCGGAUGGAUAGAAGAACCCCUGAUGCCGUCGAGCCAAGAAAAGUUUCUAAGUUUAGCUAAUGUUGCCCGUACCGUAAACCGACACAGGUGGGUGGGAUGAGUAUUCUAAGGCGCGUGGAAGAACUCUCUUUAAGGAACUCUGCAAAAUAGCACCGUAUCUUCGGUAUAAGGUGUGGUUAGCUUUGUAUUAGGAUUUACUCCGAAAGCAAGGAAACUUACAACAAAGAGUCCCUCCCGACUGUUUACCAAAAACACAGCACUCUGCUAACUCGUAAGAGGAUGUAUAGGGUGUGACGCCUGCCCGGUGCUCGAAGGUUAAUUGAUGGGGUUAGCAUUAGCGAAGCUCUUGAUCGAAGCCCGAGUAAACGGCGGCCGUAACUAUAACGGUCCUAAGGUAGCGAAAUUCCUUGUCGGUUAAAUACCGACCUGCAUGAAUGGCGUAACGAGAUGGGAGCUGUCUCAAAGAGGGAUCCAGUGAAAUUGUAGUGGAGGUGAAAAUUCCUCCUACCCGCGGCAAGACGGAAAGACCCCGUGGACCUUUACUACAGCUUGACACUGCUACUUGGAUAAGAAUGUGCAGGAUAGGUGGGAGGCUUUGAGUAUAUGACGCCAGUUGUAUAUGAGCCAUUGUUGAGAUACCACUCUUUCUUAUUUGGGUAGCUAACCAGCUUGAGUUAUCCUCAAGUGGGACAAUGUCUGGUGGGUAGUUUGACUGGGGCGGUCGCCUCCCAAAUAAUAACGGAGGCUUACAAAGGUUGGCUCAGAACGGUUGGAAAUCGUUCGUAGAGUAUAAAGGUAUAAGCCAGCUUAACUGCAAGACAUACAAGUCAAGCAGAGACGAAAGUCGGUCUUAGUGAUCCGGUGGUUCUGUGUGGAAGGGCCAUCGCUCAAAGGAUAAAAGGUACCCCGGGGAUAACAGGCUGAUCUCCCCCAAGAGCUCACAUCGACGGGGAGGUUUGGCACCUCGAUGUCGGCUCAUCGCAUCCUGGGGCUGGAGCAGGUCCCAAGGGUAUGGCUGUUCGCCAUUUAAAGCGGUACGCGAGCUGGGUUCAGAACGUCGUGAGACAGUUCGGUCCCUAUCUGCCGUGGGCGUAAGAAGAUUGAAGAGAUUUGACCCUAGUACGAGAGGACCGGGUUGAACAAACCACUGGUGUAGCUGUUGUUCUGCCAAGAGCAUCGCAGCGUAGCUAAGUUUGGAAAGGAUAAACGCUGAAAGCAUCUAAGCGUGAAGCCAACUCUAAGAUGAAUCUUCUCUAAGCUCUCUAGAAGACUACUAGUUUGAUAGGCUGGGUGUGUAAUGGAUGAAAGUCCUUUAGCUGACCAGUACUAAUAGAGCGUUUGGCUUAUCUUUAAUAAAGCAU
This 1721-nucleotide ribosomal RNA is filed under the name Campylobacter jejuni. RNAcentral's name for it is "bacterial LSU rRNA". It matches the Rfam family "Bacterial large subunit ribosomal RNA", at positions 1223 to 2925 of the family's 2925-position model. The record is from RNAcentral. RNAcentral also lists the same sequence under 1 other name. Lineage: Bacteria; Pseudomonadati; Campylobacterota; Epsilonproteobacteria; Campylobacterales; Campylobacteraceae.